CCUUUACACUGCAUUCUCCUUGGGGAAGGUCACAGAGCAGGAUGAGAAUGGAACCGGGAGACAGGAACAAAGCAGAGACCCUGAAGCCUGGUCUGUGGGCAGAAAAGCCUCUAGAGGCCCGACUAUCAAAGGGACAUGAUGCCUUUAAGGAGGAUGAAGUCAUCGGGGGAUGAGGCCACCUGGCUCUGCAGCCAGGGCUGCUGCCGAAAAGGAGGAGCAGAAGGUGGAAGGUGCUUUGGGCACCAUACUUGCCCCACCAUAGUGCUGGUCCUGAUCCAACUUAGAAGGUACCUGAAGUGACAGCCCACUGAGACUGCAUCAGGUGGCAGCUGGUGCCUCCCCAAAGGAUGACUGGCGACUGUUAGCAGAAGGAGCAGAAUGGAUGCCAGACAGGUGAAAUACAGGUGCCCACACCCUGAGGCUUUAGUGUAGAGUAGCUAAUAACAUGACUCUGGAGUUGGAUGAAUCUGGAUUAAAUCCAGGGUCUCUUCUCAAUAGUUACUUGAUUUGGACAAAUC
This is a long non-coding RNA of Homo sapiens (human), 518 nucleotides long. The record is from Ensembl. Lineage: Eukaryota; Metazoa; Chordata; Mammalia; Primates; Hominidae.